Molecule: transfer RNA, 72 nt
Filed under: Albula glossodonta (roundjaw bonefish)
Lineage: Eukaryota; Metazoa; Chordata; Actinopteri; Albuliformes; Albulidae
Rfam family: tRNA
About the family: Transfer RNA (tRNA) molecules are approximately 80 nucleotides in length. Their secondary structure includes four short double-helical elements and three loops (D, anti-codon, and T loops).
Source: Rfam by way of RNAcentral
GGCAUGGUGGCCAAGUGGCAAGGCAUUGGUCUCGUAAAGCAAAGAUCAUGGGUUCAACCCCCAUUCAUGCCU